GACGAACGCUGGCGGCGUGCUUAACACAUGCAAGUCGAACGGAAAGGCCCUGCUUUUGUGGGGUGCUCGAGUGGCGAACGGGUGAGUAACACGUGAGUAACCUGCCCUUGACUUUGGGAUAACUUCAGGAAACUGGGGCUAAUACCGGAUAGGAGCUCCUGCUGCAUGGUGGGGGUUGGAAAGUUUCGGCGGUUGGGGAUGGACUCGCGGCUUAUCAGCUUGUUGGUGGGGUAGUGGCUUACCAAGGCUUUGACGGGUAGCCGGCCUGAGAGGGUGACCGGCCACAUUGGGACUGAGAUACGGCCCAGACUCCUACGGGAGGCAGCAGUGGGGAAUAUGGCACAAUGGGCGGAAGCCUGAUGCAGCAACGCCGCGUGCGGGAUGACGGCCUUCGGGUUGUAAACCGCUUUCGCCUGUGACGAAGCGUGAGUGACGGUAAUGGGUAAAGAAGCACCGGCUAACUAAGUG
RNAcentral lists this ribosomal RNA (468 nucleotides) under uncultured bacterium. Its description in RNAcentral is "partial 16S ribosomal RNA". It matches the Rfam family "Bacterial small subunit ribosomal RNA", at positions 28 to 507 of the family's 1533-position model. The record is from RNAcentral.